AGAGUUUGAUCAUGGCUCAGAGCUAACGCUGGCGGCAGGCCUAACACAUGCAAGUUGAGCGGACGUAGCAAUACGUCAGCGGCAGACGGGAGAGUAACACGUGGGAACGCGCCCUUCGGUUCGGAAUAACUCAGGGAAACUUGAGCUAAUACCGGAUACGCCCUAACGGGGAAAGAUUUAUCGCCGAAGGAACGGCCCGCGUCCGAUUAGCUUGUUGGUGAGGUAAUGGCUCACCAAGGCGACGAUCGGUAGCUGGUCUAAGAGGAUGAUCAGCCUCACUGGGACUGAGACACGGCCCAGACUCCUACGGGAGGCAGCAGUGGGGAAUAUUGGACAAUGGGCGCAAGCCUGAUCCAGCCAUGCCGCGUGGGUGAUGAAGGCCCUAGGGUU
This 390-nucleotide ribosomal RNA is filed under the name uncultured Alphaproteobacteria bacterium. RNAcentral describes it as "bacterial SSU rRNA". It matches the Rfam family "Bacterial small subunit ribosomal RNA", at positions 8 to 424 of the family's 1533-position model. Lineage: Bacteria; Pseudomonadati; Pseudomonadota; Alphaproteobacteria. The record is from RNAcentral.